Non-coding RNA from Styela clava, 225 nucleotides. The record is from RefSeq and is a predicted model, not a curated record. Lineage: Eukaryota; Metazoa; Chordata; Ascidiacea; Stolidobranchia; Styelidae.
CGUAAAGUUGAUGGAAGAUCAUCUACAAAAAUGAGAUAGAAAUACGGAGACAGAAUUGAACCUUGACUAAGUCCUCGUAUCGGAUGCCUUGCUGCAAAUUUUAUUCCACCAUGGUAUUGCAUUUUUCGAUAAAGCAAUCACAUUUUGUGGAGUACAUGAUGUGACGCUGAGAAUUAUGCCCUGACACAGGAUAUCUGUAAUGAAUUCGAUCAAGCUCACUAUGUC